RNAcentral lists this ribosomal RNA (329 nucleotides) under uncultured bacterium. Its description in RNAcentral is "bacterial SSU rRNA". It matches the Rfam family "Bacterial small subunit ribosomal RNA", at positions 28 to 363 of the family's 1533-position model. The record is from RNAcentral.
AACGAACGCUGGCGGCAGGCCUAACACAUGCAAGUCGAGCGGGCGUAGCAAUACGUCAGCGGCGCACGGGUGAGUAACGCGUGGGAACCUGCCCUUUGGUUCGGAACAACCCCUGGGAAACGUAGGGCUGAUACCGGAUACGCCCCUGAUCUCGCGAGAGGUUGGGGGGAAAGAUUUAGUCGCCGAAAGGAGGGGCCCGCGUCCGAUUAGCUAGUUGGUGGGGUAAUGGCCUACCAAGGCUGCGAUCGGUAGCCGGUCUGAGAGGACGAUCGGCCACACUGGGACUGAGACACGGCCCAGACUCCUACGGGAGGCAGCAGUGGGGAAUA